UCAAAGGAAUUGACGGGGGCCCGCACAAGCGGCGGAGCAUGUGGCUUAAUUCGAUGCAACGCGAAGAACCUUACCAAGGCUUGACAUGUGCAGAAAUCCGGCAGAGAUGCCGGGUCCGUAAGGGCUGCGCACAGGUGGUGCAUGGUUGUCGUCAGCUCGUGUCGUGAGAUGUUGGGUUAAGUCCCGCAACGAGCGCAACCCUCGUUCUAUGUUGCCAGCGCGUUAUGGCGGGGACUCAUAGGAGACUGCCGGGGUCAACUCGGAGGAAGGUGGGGAUGACGUCAAAUCAUCAUGCCCCUUAUGUCUUGGGCUGCACACAUGCUACAAUGGCCGGUACAAAGGGCUGCGAUACCGCGAGGUGGAGCGAAUCCCAAAAAGCCGGUCUCAGUUCGGAUUGGGGUCUGCAACUCGACCCCAUGAAGUCGGAGUCGCUAGUAAUCGCAGAUCAGCAACGCUGCGGUGAAUACGUUCCCGGGCCUUGUACACACCGCCCGUCACGUCAUGAAAGUCGGUAACACCCGAAGCCAGUGGCCCAACCCCUUGUGGGAGGGAGCUGUCGAAGGUGGGAUCGGCGAUUAGGACGAAGUCGUAACAAGGUAACC
RNAcentral lists this ribosomal RNA (602 nucleotides) under uncultured bacterium. RNAcentral's name for it is "bacterial SSU rRNA". It matches the Rfam family "Bacterial small subunit ribosomal RNA", at positions 901 to 1501 of the family's 1533-position model. The record is from RNAcentral.